RNAcentral lists this ribosomal RNA (549 nucleotides) under Hepatozoon sp. Its description in RNAcentral is "SSU rRNA". It matches the Rfam family "Eukaryotic small subunit ribosomal RNA", at positions 376 to 918 of the family's 1831-position model. Lineage: Eukaryota; Apicomplexa; Hepatozoidae. The record is from RNAcentral.
UUCGAUUCCGGAGAGGGAGCCUAAGAAACGGCUACCACAUCUAAGGAAGGCAGCAGGCGCGCAAAUUACCCAAUUCUAACAGCAUAAGAGAGGUAGUGACAAGAAAUAACAAUACAAGGCAGUUAAAAUGCUUUGUAAUUGGAAUGAUAGAAAUUUAAACACUUUUUAAAGUAUCAAUUGGAGGGCAAGUCUGGUGCCAGCAGCCGCGGUAAUUCCAGCUCCAAUAGCGUAUAUUAAAAUUGUUGCAGUUAAAAAGCUCGUAGUUGAAUUUCUGCUAAAAAUAAUCGGUCUGCUUUGAACAAAAGUGGUAUCUUGUUGUGUUUUUAGCAAUAAUGUCCUUUGAAAUGUAUUUUACUUUGUUGUAAAAAACAAUAUUCAGGAUUUUUACUUUGAGAAAAUUAGAGUGUUUCUAGCAGGCUAAUGUUAUGAAUAUUGCAGCAUGGAAUAAUAAAAUAAGAAUUUAGUUCUACAUUGUUGGUUUUAAGAGUUGAAUUAAUGAUUGAUAGGAACAGUUGGGGGCAUUUGUAUUUAACUGUCAGAGGGAAAUUU